This 253-nucleotide ribosomal RNA is filed under the name uncultured bacterium. Its description in RNAcentral is "partial 16S ribosomal RNA". It matches the Rfam family "Bacterial small subunit ribosomal RNA", at positions 524 to 776 of the family's 1533-position model. The record is from RNAcentral.
UACAUAUGUCCCGAGUGUUACCCGGAAUAAUUGGGUGUAAAGGGUCCGUAGGCGGACUGAAAAGUUGGAUAUGAAAGACCGAGGCUCAACCUCGUGUUCGUGUUCAAAACUCUCAGUCUAGAAUUAGGGAGAGGUAAGCGGAAUUCUAAGUGUAGGGGUGCAAUCCGUAGAUACUUAGAGGAACACCGAAAGCGAAGGCAGCUUACUGGAACUAUAUUGACGCUGAGGGACGAAAGCGUGGGUAGCGAAAAGG